ACCAAAACUAUAGUAGAUUUGAUCAAUAAAGAUAUACCUUAGAUUUGUUAUUUCCUAAUAGCCCUAAUGUUCCUUGUAUGUAGCAGUAGGCGACUACAAGUUAGAAGAAACCUUGAUACAUAUGUUCAGGGCCAGCCCUGACAUUUUGUGGGUCAAAACUCAAAAAAAGAAAAUUUAAGGUUAAGUUAGAAGGUUAAAAAAUUUGGGGCAAUUAUUGGAAAAUGAGUAAAAUAAAGGAUGCUUUGUAAAUAAGCUUUGCUGAAAAAAAUGGAGGUCACAGCAAAUGUUUUAUCCUGCUGUGUCCAGAUGUGUCGAAGAUCAGCUCUGCAUAUGCUAACGAAGGAUCUAAAAAAGAAUAUGUAAUUGGAAAAUGCUUAGUUUCUACGAGACAAGUCGUACUAUAAUAAAUACUAAUGCCAAAUUUAAAACAUAUUAUUAGAAGGAAAAAAGAAUCAGUAAGUAAAAAACAAAUAGGAAUGUCUAAUUAUUACUAGAUUAACCCAAAAACAAAUAGGAAUGUCACUAAGUAAAAAACAAAACUCUUUGGAAUGGAUGAUUUGAAUGAAUUUCAUGGUUAGUUUACAAUAGCCAACAACACAUGGAUCUCUAAUUGUCCACAAAACCCGUGAUUCCUAAGCUUAUUCAAGAUCCCAACAUGCAAUAGCUUUUUUCUAUCUAUUUGUUUACGAUGAUUGAGAUUAUUAAUCAUUAUUACAAAUUAAUAAAUGUCAUUUUUACAACAAAAAUCAUUAAAAUACAGUGCAUAUCAUAUAAAA
RNAcentral lists this small RNA (776 nucleotides) under Arabidopsis thaliana (thale cress). RNAcentral's name for it is "ATSL256110". The record is from RNAcentral. Lineage: Eukaryota; Viridiplantae; Streptophyta; Magnoliopsida; Brassicales; Brassicaceae.